Sarcophilus harrisii (Tasmanian devil) is the source of this 101-nucleotide small nuclear RNA. The record is from Ensembl. NCBI's taxonomy places the organism in Eukaryota, Metazoa, Chordata, Mammalia, Dasyuromorphia, Dasyuridae.
ACUUUCUUCAGCAACAUCUAUUCUAAAAUUGGAAUGACACAGAGAAGGUUAGCAUGGACCCCAAGCAAGGAUGAGACGCAAAUUCCCAAAGACUUAGUUUA